Molecule: long non-coding RNA, 382 nt
Organism: Pantherophis guttatus
Lineage: Eukaryota; Metazoa; Chordata; Lepidosauria; Squamata; Colubridae
Source: RefSeq, a predicted model, not a curated record
UAGGAUCAGUAAAAAGGGUCUCAAUCCAUACACUUAAGGAGGGAGACUCCUUGGAGUUUGGGCUGCAUGAAAAGGCUUCUAAGAUUCUGCAUGGCCUAGUCUGCCAAACGGAAGUUGUGAGUGAUAUUGUAGCAACCAAAUAACUGAACAACAGGUCCUGUGUCUUCUUCAGUUACAGCAGCAAGCAAGAGAGUCAGGCAAACAGGAGCAUCAUGAGGAGAGACAGAACCCACAUGUUCCCGUUUUACCUGCACAAAAUGGAAUUGUACCUGAACAAAAUUAGAAGCAAAAUGGAGGAGACAGGGUGACCAAUGCAAGAAGACAUGACCGGGAUACGGAGUGAAUUGAAAAUACAGCAGAAGAUAUAACAGAUGGGGAAACG